GUAGAACAGAUGGGUGUGUCUUUAAGUAGAACAGAUGGGUGUGUCUUUAAGUAGAACAGAUGGGUGUGUCUAAGUAGAACAGAUAGGUGUGUCUUUAAGUAGAACAGAUGGGUGUGUCUUUAAGCAGAACAGGGAGAGUGUGUCUAAGUGGGACAGCUGGGUGUGUCCGAGUGAUAGCAGCAUUAUAAUUUUUCUUUUUCUUUCUUUCUUUCUUUCUUUCUUUCUUUCUUUCUUUCUUUCUUUCUUUCUUUCUUUCUUUCAGCUCUUUGCAUACUCAGGAUUUCCUUCAGGAAGUGCAGAUCUAAUGUAUAAACAGUUAAGUGAUAAAUGAG
This is a long non-coding RNA of Ictalurus punctatus (channel catfish), 332 nucleotides long. Lineage: Eukaryota; Metazoa; Chordata; Actinopteri; Siluriformes; Ictaluridae. The record is from Ensembl.